GGGUAGGUGGCUGAAUAUAAUAGGUGAUGCACUGUAAAUGCAUUUAUGGGAGAUAAUCUCUCUGCCCA
This 68-nucleotide transfer RNA is filed under the name Tropidomya abbreviata. Its description in RNAcentral is "tRNA-Tyr". It matches the Rfam family "tRNA". From Rfam's summary of the family: Transfer RNA (tRNA) molecules are approximately 80 nucleotides in length. Their secondary structure includes four short double-helical elements and three loops (D, anti-codon, and T loops). The record is from RNAcentral. Lineage: Eukaryota; Metazoa; Mollusca; Bivalvia; Poromyidae.